RNAcentral lists this ribosomal RNA (301 nucleotides) under uncultured bacterium. Its description in RNAcentral is "partial 16S ribosomal RNA". It matches the Rfam family "Bacterial small subunit ribosomal RNA", at positions 509 to 809 of the family's 1533-position model. The record is from RNAcentral.
CAGUCGCCACGGUAAUACGGAGGGUGCAAGCGUUAAUCGGAAUUACUGGGCGUAAAGCGCACGCAGGCGGUCUGUCAAGUCAGAUGUGAAAUCCCCGGGCUUAACCUGGGAACUGCAUUUGAAACUGGCAGGCUAGAGUCUUGUAGAGGGGGGUAGAAUUCCAGGUGUAGCGGUGAAAUGCGUAGAGAUCUGGAGGAAUACCGGUGGCGAAGGCGGCCCCCUGGACAAAGACUGACGCUCAGGUGCGAAAGCGUGGGGAGCAAACAGGAUUAGAUACCCCGGUAGUCCCUGUCUCUUAUAA